GGGUCAGUAGGUUGGUCGUGCCACCGGUACGUACUGGUCUCACUGAUUCCUCCUUCCUGAAGAACCGUAAUGCCAUUAAUUUGGUGUUGCGGGGAAACAGGACUGUUACUUUGAAAAAAUUAGAGUGUUUAAAGCAAGCUAACGCUUGAAUUCAUUAGCAUGGAAUAAUGGAAUAGGACGAUCGAUCCUAUUUUGUUGGUUUCUAGGAUUGACGUA
This 216-nucleotide ribosomal RNA is filed under the name Glomeromycotina sp. RNAcentral's name for it is "partial small subunit ribosomal RNA". The stretch from base 40 to 216 matches the Rfam family "Eukaryotic small subunit ribosomal RNA", at positions 686 to 864 of the family's 1831-position model. Lineage: Eukaryota; Fungi; Glomeromycota. The record is from RNAcentral.